This 460-nucleotide ribosomal RNA is filed under the name uncultured bacterium. RNAcentral describes it as "partial 16S ribosomal RNA". It matches the Rfam family "Bacterial small subunit ribosomal RNA", at positions 338 to 795 of the family's 1533-position model. The record is from RNAcentral.
CCUACGGGAGGCAGCAGUGAGGAAUAUUGGUCAAUGGACGAGAGUCUGAACCAGCCAAGUAGCGUGAAGGAUGACUGCCCUAUGGGUUGUAAACUUCUUUUAUAUGGGAAUAAAACGUUCCACGUGUGGGAUUUUGUAUGUACCAUAUGAAUAAGGAUCGGCUAACUCCGUGCCAGCAGCCGCGGUAAUACGGAGGAUCCGAGCGUUAUCCGGAUUUAUUGGGUUUAAAGGGAGCGUAGGUGGAUUGUUAAGUCAGUUGUGAAAGUUUGCGGCUCAACCGUAAAAUUGCAGUUGAAACUGGCAGUCUUGAGUACAGUAGAGGUUGGCGGAAUUCGUGGUGUAGCGGUGAAAUGCUUAGAUAUCACGAAGAACUCCGAUUGCGAAGGCAGUUCACUGGACUGCAACUGACACUGAGGCUCGAAAGUGUGGGUAUCAAACAGGAUUAGAUAUCCGGGUAGUC